CAGAGAAAGACUAUAAGGGGGAAGGUAG
This 28-nucleotide non-coding RNA is filed under the name Cricetulus griseus (Chinese hamster). Lineage: Eukaryota; Metazoa; Chordata; Mammalia; Rodentia; Cricetidae. The record is from RNAcentral.